RNAcentral lists this long non-coding RNA (3317 nucleotides) under Homo sapiens (human). RNAcentral describes it as "LHRI_LNC1315.1". The record is from RNAcentral. Lineage: Eukaryota; Metazoa; Chordata; Mammalia; Primates; Hominidae.
UUGACUAAAAAUACAAUGUAUGAAAAUUUAUCUUUAAUAGCAUUUUCCAUAAGCUACUAUAACAAUUUAUUGAUACAUCUGGGAUUCAGCCAGGUCUUAUAGUAUUUAAAUUUAUAACCCCUGCCAUGCUUAGCAUUAAGUAAAUCAGUAUGCAAGCAGUAUUUAAGGCAAAGCUUUAAGAAUACUUUAAAUUUCAUUUGUAAAUACAUAGAUGCAAGACUGUUUCCAUAGGAAGUCACAAAUCCUCAAACAGAAAUAUGUGUGUUCUCAAUGUUACCCUGAUACAGAAAUCAAACUUGGAAGAAAUAUUUUUACAUUAGAAAAAGGACUCAGUAUAAGGUGAAAACAAAAUUCCCAGUGGGCUAGACAUGAACAAAAGUAUUCAUUCCCCAAAAGGCACAUUUCUUUAUAACGGUUUUUUCAAAUCUACCUCCCUAUUUAAUGAAAGCAUAUUCAUUAAAUAUGAAACUAUGCAUACAUUAAAAACCAGGAUUUGUUUUUAAUGUGCUUUAGCAGCAGUAGAUUCUAAAACUGUGUCUUCUUGUCCUCUCAUUAGUUUGAAUAAUCACACUCCCUAGAGAUCAGAGCAUUGAGUCUGAAAUGUCAAAAUGCUAGAGAAAAGAGGGAGUAAUUUUUAACUACCCAGAAAGAAGAUGCACAAAUACAUCUUUUCCUACGUAGGUCACGGCAUAUGUUGGCUUUUAUAAUUUGGGAUUUCUCCUAAUUGAUGACCCACCCUAUUGGGCAGUGAGGCAUAGCAAAGUAUUCCUCAGUUAUCACAGGAAACUUCAAUAAAAUCUUACAUAUUGCUAUGGGUAUUCACGAAGAGGAAAAUGAAGUUGACUUAGAGGAUAAGACUGAUUAAAAGACACUACAAUGCAUAUUAGACUGAAUUGAAGAAGAGAAUGGAUUUGUCUUAUUUUUCAAAAUUUGUUUUCACUUUGCACAUAAACCCUUCAAAAUGUAGAUAACAAAUGAAAAAUAAAGUGGAACCCACUCAAUAAGGUGAGAUUCUGUAAGCAGAGAUGAAGCUUGAUGUUCUUAAUGAAUAGUGUCAGUGUAGAAAGAACAUGAGUGGUAAUAAAAAAUUACAGCUUACAAAAGGGCCUAGAAAAAUGAGGCAGGCCAGACGAGUGGAAAUAGAACACAACAGUUUAAAGUGCUUUGAGACCCUCAGUUAAACAGUACACGUGAAUACAAAAUAAUGUUAAGGCCAUUCAUGGAGAAGAAAUACUUAAGCAAGACAUACCUGGCUUGCUUCAUAGAGAAGAGGUAAGAGAUGGAUUUUCAAUUCGGCGUGCAGCAGCAGGGAAUAUGGCUACAACAACGCUGGCUAGUAUUAGGGCAACACACCUCAAAGCUAACUCACCAUAAACCUAACAUCUUGAUUCACAUCUGCUUGGAGUGAAAAAGUUUAUGAUCAGUCUUUUCAGGAAGGUUUAUUUUAUGGGGGAUUUUUUUGUGCUUUAGUACCCCAAAAUCACAUAUGUUCGCAUACAUCAUAUACACACACAUUGCAUACACAUUUCCCCUUGACUGAUUCGCAUCUUUGUAGAUAAACACUAAAUUUUGAUAAAGAUUAUUUACACUUAUUUAGGCUAUUACUCCAAUUUAAAAAUCAGUGAAAGUUUUCAAUGUUUAGUCUCCUAAUAUAUAAUGCUUAAAUUUGCAACAGGAACAAUACAUUAUCAAAAGCAUUAACCUGUAUUUAGCUUUCAAAUAUACCUGUCUAUAUUAGGCAGUGAUAUCUUAAGAAAUCAUUUUCUCCCUUAUAUUUUCUAAAGUGCUUUAAAAACUCAUUUAAUCUACACAUUUUUCAGAGGUAGGUCGGAAUUAUCCUCUUGUUGCAAAUGAGGAAACAGGCACAGUGAGCACUGGUGACUUGUUUCAGGUUACACAAAAAAAUCCAUGAUGAAAGCAGGGUAAAAGUUCAGAUUUAGUGGCUAACGUGGCACCACACAUACAGGUGUGCAAAUAAAUUAUAGAGCACUGCCUGGGUAGCAUUUGGUGUAGAAAACCUAUUUUGAUUAUUUUGUAUGAAUAAAGUGCUGAGACUGGAUUAGGAAUACAGAAUGGGCCUCCAGUGGUAUCUAAUCCACCUCCCUCCCUUAGGAAGGGUCAGAAUAAUCAAGUGAAUACAGAGUCCUUAUUAGGACUAAAUCUUAUGUCAACUGACUCCCCCCCCGCCCCCCAACCACUGGCAUUCAUACUGGCUUACCAAAAGAAUCAUGCUUAAGGUUCAUUUAAUAUAAAAAUGUAAGACAUCUGAAUCAGGUAAAAAAAAUUAUAAAUCUGAUUGAUAUAUUUAGAGCUAAGAGACUCCAGGAAAAAAAAAAUGUGUAGAGAAAAUUAAAAACAAAUUUAAUUCAAAGAAUAUGGUCUAUUAACAUUUUGUCUGUAAAAUAUUUCAUUGUAGCUGUAUUUGUGCUUAGAAGAUCUUCUAGAUUUAAAAACAGAAAAUGGCAUAAAUCAUAUUCUCAUAGCCACACUCCUUCCCUUCCUCUGCUCAGCUAAGGAGAGGGCUUUCUUUUGAGACAGGGUCUCAUUUUGUCGCCCAGGCUGGAGUGCAGUGGUACGAUCACAGCUCACUGCAGCCUCUAUCUCCUGGGCUCAAGUGAUCCUCCCACCUCAGCCUCCCAAGUACCUGUGACUACAGGUACACACCACCUCACCCGGCUUUUUCUUUUUUCUUUUUUUUUUUCCGAGAGAGACGGGAGGUCACCAUGUUGCCCAGGUUGAUGUCAAACUCCUGGGUUCAAGUGACCCACCCACCUUGGCCUCCCAAAGUAAGAGGUCUUUUGGGAAUUGUAGACGUGCAAUAGAAUAUACUGUUCCCUCUCAUCUGAAGGCUCUAGGAAAAAAAGAAUAUACUGUUCUUUUAAAAAUUUAAGUGAAUGGUGGUCAUGGGUGCAUUAAUGCGAAAGAACUGUACACUUAAAAAUGGUUAAAAUGGUAAAUGUUUAAAAUGGCAAAUAUGUAUUUAUAUAUUUUACCACAAUAGAGAAAAUCAAGUCUUUAAAAAUGAUAGCCCCUAUGUUUUUAUGCUUACCUAAAUAAACCAUAUUUAAUAUUUGGCAUAUAAGCUAAUUUGAUAGAGCAAGAAUUGCUAUGUUUAUAAUAAGCAUGUUGGACUGAAUUUCAUCAUUUAUUAGAAUGUGCAUAUAAGAAAGAUACUUGUAUUUGUAGGCCUCUGAAAAACAUCUAGGUAGGUAGAGAGCCUUGACUCACCUUGCCGAAGGUCCUGAAGAAUGGAAAAAAGAAAAAUGAAUCUUCAAUAUCGGUUUUUCACCUCAGGAAAUUCUAGUACCACAAAAAUA